RNAcentral lists this small RNA (906 nucleotides) under Cryptococcus neoformans H99. RNAcentral's name for it is "Cryptococcus neoformans var. grubii H99 hypothetical RNA". The record is from RNAcentral. Lineage: Eukaryota; Fungi; Basidiomycota; Tremellomycetes; Tremellales; Cryptococcaceae.
CUUAAUUUUGCCUGCUGCCGACUCCGGACUUCUCUCUCCCGCCCUGGCUGUUGUUUAUCCUGUCCACGUGUCACCUACAACUGCUUGGACAUCCCACCUCAUGUAAGUCGCUUGCACGAAUGACGAGUUCUACAAAUGCAUCAACCAAGUAGGGCGCAAACAACGACUUCUUCCAGUUACAGGCACUGGAGUUGUUCCUAGUAGAUAGCUUGGAAUCCAAGAAAUGUCGUCAGAUGCUCGAGCGCGUCCGCAAUAUUCAUUACGCGUUGUUUUGCUCGUUCUAUUGUCAGUCAGUUGGUCUGUUGUUUGUGCCCUUUUGUCCUUUUGCCUUCUGAUGCCGACUGUCUAGUUUACCCUGUGUAAUCUGUACCUUUUCCCCUAAUGACCCAAACAAGCUCGUUCCCUUCGUAUAUGGCGCCAUGCGCUUUGGGAUGUUUGGGCUUGGCUCUUCUGCCCUUUGCUCUUCUGUUCCUCGAUCCUCGAUUCUUCGCACUGCAUAUUUGGUUUCUUCCUGUUUUUCUCCGUUCAGCAAUGAAAUAACCAGUAUUAAGUUCAGAGCUCCUUAUUUGGGUUUGACGCUUGACAAUGAAGGCAUCACAUGACCGCACAUGCAUGGUCUAAUAGCGGGGGAGAGGUUAAGAAACGGAGGAGAUAAUCGUGCAAGUGAGCAAGUAAUCGCUGAUCAGGGACGCCGAGACCCCUGUCCAGGCCCCACCGGAACGGAUGGGCGGAAUCGAAGUUUGUUUUGACUGCAUAAAUAUUUAUUAUUAUUUAGGACCAUUAAUCGGUGCAAGCCGACCUUCUGUUUACCCAAGGUGGUAAAUCGUCAUUUCCUUCGUGAUGGAAGGGCGAAAGAGGAAGAAGGAAGAGGGCGAUACGAAAGGAAAUAAGGAGGAUUGCGACCCA